GCCGGCCGGCUUUGUCCGGCGUCUUUUCUUGGCGGCGCGGGUGCGCUUGGUCGCUUCCCCGGCGUCGGCGCGCCUCUUUGCGACCGGUCGCGCCGAUUCCGCCGGUGCCUCGCUUUGGGCGAGAACACCCACGCGGUCGUCCAUCUUGUUGUCCCUGUGUGGUGUGCCGCCUUUUUUUCUUCUGGCGCUGCUGCUCUUCUUUUCCUCCCGAUGCUUGUGCGAGUUUGUGUGGCGGUUCUUGGUUUUUUCCCGUCGCCCGGUUCGAUCGCCUUUGUUUCGGCACGCGCUCUCUUUUUUUUUUCUCCUCGCUCACUCGGGCGGAGCGCCGGCGCCCAAAAGGAAGCGGGCGCGAGAAAAGCCCAGCCUUCUUUCCCCUCUUUUUUUUUCCUUUCUCUCUCGUGUGUCUCUUGCUGUUGCGCGUC
This 422-nucleotide long non-coding RNA is filed under the name Pandoravirus dulcis. Its description in RNAcentral is "putative ncRNA". The record is from RNAcentral.